RNAcentral lists this ribosomal RNA (252 nucleotides) under uncultured bacterium. Its description in RNAcentral is "partial 16S ribosomal RNA". It matches the Rfam family "Bacterial small subunit ribosomal RNA", at positions 524 to 776 of the family's 1533-position model. The record is from RNAcentral.
UACGUAGGGUGCAAGCGUUAAUCGGAAUUACUGGGCGUAAAGCGUGCGCAGGCGGUUAUGCAAGACAGAUGUGAAAUCCCCGGGCUCAACCUGGGAACUGCAUUUGUGACUGCAUAGCUAGAGUACGGUAGAGGGGGAUGGAAUUCCGCGUGUAGCAGUGAAAUGCGUAGAUAUGCGGGGAACACCGAUGGCGAAGGCAAUCCCCUGGACCUGUACUGACGCUCAUGCACGAAAGCGUGGGGAGCAAACAGG